GUUCGGUCCCUAUCCGCUGCGCGCGUUGGAAAUUUGAGAAAGGCUGUCCUUAGUACGAGAGGACCGGGACGGACGAACCUCUGGUAUGUCAGUUGUACCGCCAGGUGCAUGGCUGAUUGGCUACGUUCGGGAGGGAUAACCGCUGAAAGCAUCUAAGCGGGAAGCCUGUUUCGAGAUGAGAUUUCCUGGCACUUUGGUGUGUGAGGCUCCUUAUAGAUGAUGAGGUUGAUAGGCCGGGUAUGGAAGCGGGGACUGAAGACUCGUGGAGUUGACUGGUACUAAUAGGCCGAAGGCUUACUUUU
RNAcentral lists this ribosomal RNA (302 nucleotides) under Rothia mucilaginosa. RNAcentral's name for it is "partial 23S ribosomal RNA". It matches the Rfam family "Bacterial large subunit ribosomal RNA", at positions 2629 to 2925 of the family's 2925-position model. Lineage: Bacteria; Bacillati; Actinomycetota; Actinomycetes; Micrococcales; Micrococcaceae. The record is from RNAcentral.